CAGAUUGAACGCUGGCGGCAGGCCUAACACAUGCAAGUCGAGCGGAAACGAGUUAUCUGAACCUUCGGGGGACGAUAACGGCGUCGAGCGGCGGACGGGUGAGUAAUGCCUAGGAAAUUGCCCUGAUGUGGGGGAUAACCAUUGGAAACGAUGGCUAAUACCGCAUGAUGCCUACGGGCCAAAGAGGGGGACCUUCGGGCCUCUCGCGUCAGGAUAUGCCUAGGUGGGAUUAGCUAGUUGGUGAGGUAAGGGCUCACCAAGGCGACGAUCCCUAGCUGGUCUGAGAGGAUGAUCAGCCACACUGGAACUGAGACACGGUCCAGACUCCUACGGGAGGCAGCAGUGGGGAAUAUUGCACAAUGGGCGCAAGCCUGAUGCAGCCAUGCCGCGUGUGUGAAGAAGGCCUUCGGGUUGUAAAGCACUUUCAGUCGUGAGGAAGGAUUAGUUUUAUUAAUGGCCUGCAUUUUUGGACGUUGCCGACAAAAGAACCCCCGGAUAUCUUCCGUCCAAGCAGCCGCGGUAAUAGGGAGGGUGCGAGCGUUAAUCGGAAUUACUGGGCGUAAAGCGCAUGCAGGUGGUUUGUUAAGUCAGAUGUGAAAGCCCGGGGCUCAACCUCGGAAUAGCAUUUGAAACUGGCAGACUAGAGUACUGUAGAGGGGGGUAGAAUUUCAGGUGUAGCGGUGAAAUGCGUAGAGAUCUGAAGGAAUACCGGUGGCGAAGGCGGCCCCCUGGACAGAUACUGACACUCAGAUGCGAAAGCGUGGGGAGCAAACAGGAUUAGAUACCCUGGUAGUCCACGCCGUAAACGAUGUCUACUUGGAGGUUGUGGCCUUGAGCCGUGGCUUUCGGAGCUAACGCGUUAAGUAGACCGCCUGGGGAGUACGGUCGCAAGAUUAAAACUCAAAUGAAUUGACGGGGGCCCGCACAAGCGGUGGAGCAUGUGGUUUAAUUCGAUGCAACGCGAAGAACCUUACCUACUCUUGACAUCCAGAGAACUUUCCAGAGAUGGAUUGGUGCCUUCGGGAACUCUGAGACAGGUGCUGCAUGGCUGUCGUCAGCUCGUGUUGUGAAAUGUUGGGUUAAGUCCCGCAACGAGCGCAACCCUUAUCCUUGUUUGCCAGCGAGUAAUGUCGGGAACUCCAGGGAGACUGCCGGUGUAUAAACCGGAAGGAAGGUGGGGAAUCGACGUCAAGUCAUCAUGGCCCUUACGAGUAGGGCUACACACGUGCUACAAUGGCGCAUACAGAGGGCGGCCAACUUGCGAAAGUGAGCGAAUCCCAAAAAGUGCGUCGUAGUCCGGAUUGGAGUCUGCAACUCGACUCCAUGAAGUCGGAAUCGCUAGUAAUCGUGGAUCAGAAUGCCACGGUGAAUACGUUCCCGGGCCUUGUACACACCGCCCGUCACACCAUGGGAGUGGGCUGCAAAAGAAGUAGGUAGUUUAACCUUCGGGGGGACGCUUACCACUUUGUGGUUCAUGACUGGGGUG
This 1486-nucleotide ribosomal RNA is filed under the name Vibrio sp. SJN4. RNAcentral describes it as "bacterial SSU rRNA". It matches the Rfam family "Bacterial small subunit ribosomal RNA". The record is from RNAcentral. Lineage: Bacteria; Pseudomonadati; Pseudomonadota; Gammaproteobacteria; Vibrionales; Vibrionaceae.